UCAAACAUCAGUGGACGAAGGCAGCAUUGCAAAAAUUAUGUAUUAGAAGUUGUUCCAGAGUCUCAGUCUGAAGGAGCAGAACUAAGAAGAGUGGACUGCCACACCUAGGUUUCAAUUCCAAUCCGGUUUGGCCAGUGAGGAAGGUCACGUUACCGGAUUGAAACAAUCAGAGGCUAUCAUGCAGCUGCAUGUUGCUGUUUAAUGCUGGCCCUAGGACAGAAUGAGGCAAAGAGGACCCAGAAAUUAGUUUGCUCUAGUUUUGGAAGAUAUUGGAAAGAAGUCAGAAGAGCGCAUAAUGGAAGAGCUGCACAAUCUGACAAUCCACAUAGGCCGAAUCAACCGAAGAACAACUUGAAGCUCUCUUCGAUUACCACCGUGUUCAACCCUUCGAUGUUGUCUGCCUCGACGGGUUCACAUGGCUUCAUGACAUCACAUAAAUGGUGUGACACAAUUGGAGCUUUUAUAAAUGUUGAGGCAUCUGGGACAGGAGGCCUAUCCUGCUUGUCAGGAGAACAUGAAUCUAUACAUAAAGAGAAUUCUUCCAUGCAUGAAAGAUUUCAAUUGUCCAAGAUGAGCACUAUGUCAUUGAUAUGCUUUGGGCGGUUCUCAAUAAUUUUUCCAUGGAAAAUUAGGUGAAAUUUUUGAAGUUUUGAUACAUAGGUUGUUUGAUAUAAUAUCUAAAGGAUCAUAAGUACAGGUAUAUGCUUAUUUUAUCUUUGCUGAUGCUUUAAUGUAAUCUCAUGGUUCAUUUUAAAUUUGCUCAAAUAUUGGGUUGGGCUGAUGAAUAUGAUGGUGGUGUUGCAACCUAAUUUGUACUGCAUUGAAUGGAUUUUGAGUUAGGUGUUAGCUUCCUUGUGUUGUCAAUUUCGCGAACAAACACAUUUAAGUUGUAUUAUUGUUUUUGGUUGUUUUGUGUCCUAUGUAUGGGAUCCUUGUUUAUCUUGUCAAUCUACAUGGACCGCUCGACCAAAGGAGCUUGAACUCGAGCACGAGCAAAGAAGUUGGCCUUCCAAUAUUUCAGUCUUUGCUUUGAGAUAUUGGGAGGUUUCUUUUACCACUGAAGCGAUAGCUUUAGAGCUCGAGUGAAUUGACAGAGCAUUCAUCGGUGGAUUCCGAAGGGUUUGAGCUUGGAGGCUUUGAAGGUAUUCGAAGUAGCUCAUCCUCGUGGAUUCGACUUGGAUAUUAUGGAUUCAACACUAGGCUAAGCAAUUCUGAGACGAAGAUGUUGGUGGAAGAGACACAAGGAGUGGAAGUCAAUUCUUCAGUGAGCAUUGGUUCAUGGCGUGUACUCUUGUGUAAUUUCAUUAUCUUCAUAGUGGAUUGUUUAGUGGCUUUUAGUUCGUGAUUUUUUCUAUCACAAUUAGAGGUGCUCCAAUUUUAGUUUUUCCACGUUAAAUCUUUUGUAUUGAUUUAUCAAUUGUGAGACAACAAGCUCAAUCACUUUCAUUUGUGUUGAUUUAGAUUAUUUGUUUUGUGUGUUUUUGGGAUUUGUAGUAAUUGAAUAUAUUUCGAAUCAUGAAUCACAUAACUUAGGG
This is a non-coding RNA of Camellia sinensis, 1535 nucleotides long. NCBI's taxonomy places the organism in Eukaryota, Viridiplantae, Streptophyta, Magnoliopsida, Ericales, Theaceae. The record is from RefSeq and is a predicted model, not a curated record.